AUGGAGCAGGGCACGACGACGGCGCCGACGCCGCUACCGGAACUCGCCAAGGAGACAGGCAAUUGCAUCGCCGUUGUCGCCGCUGGAGGCUGCGCCUUCUACUUCCUCAAGGGCCUGCGCAACUCCCCCACAGGUGGCCGCCUAGCCGGCGCCGCCCAGGCGGUCCGCGCAAACGCGCCGCGAAUCGGCGGCUGGGGGGUCUGGCUCGGCGCCCAGGCAGCAAUUGACAGCGCCCUGGAGCGCGUGAACAAGGACGACCGCUUCAACACCAUGAUCUCAUAUGGCGCCGCCAGCGCCCUCGUCUCCGUGCUCCGGGGGCCACGCGCCGCCGCCUUCUCCGGGAUCAAGGGCGCCGUCUUCGGUGGGCUCGUAGAGAUCGCUAUACGCGGCCUUAAACGCUUCGAGGCCGACCUACCGGAACCGGAGAAGUGA
Molecule: ribosomal RNA, 432 nt
Filed under: Triticum aestivum (bread wheat)
Lineage: Eukaryota; Viridiplantae; Streptophyta; Magnoliopsida; Poales; Poaceae
Description: partial small subunit ribosomal RNA
Source: RNAcentral